Mesocricetus auratus (golden hamster) is the source of this 1749-nucleotide long non-coding RNA. RefSeq lists it as uncharacterized. The record is from RefSeq and is a predicted model, not a curated record. The transcript has 3 exons. Lineage: Eukaryota; Metazoa; Chordata; Mammalia; Rodentia; Cricetidae.
CGAAGGCUGCUGGUUACUCUACACAAACUGUUGGUACGGCCCUACACAACUCAUUUGAAGGUGGAGAAGUUGAGCUGGUAAGCUACAACCCGGUGACCUACAACGCCGAGCUUCCUGCAAGAGGAGCUAGUGCAGCAUUGGCACAAAGCUUACGGAGUAACCCACCGAAUCUGUUCAGAUUGAAGGUUUAUAAAACUUUCCAUUUGCAUUUUCGAUGUGAUUAGCUGCUUUUAAUUACAUCUAAAGCUUCCUUGCCAAGUAAUGAUGAGAAAGCACAGAGAAGUCACAGCGGCGACGUACGAAAGGCCAGACAGGCCUCGGAAAACUGCUUCAAGUGCUAAUUAUAAAUAAUUUCCUAGCAAAUCCUCCAAAGAACUGCAUGACAUUACUAAUAUUCUUUAAGGUUUGCAUCUGAUUUGAUCUUACUUCUUAUUAGUUGUCUUCUCUUUUAUCCAUAUUGCCCUUUUUUGGAUUUAAGAUGUAAUUUUUUCUCUAAAAGAUAUUCUUUCAUUGUUCCUAUAGAAAAGGCUCUGGGCUAACAAUUUUCAGUGAAUAAUAUUUAUUUGUGGAUAAAAUUUCAGUUCAAAACAGUUUUUGCCUUUUAACACUGGAAUCAUUAUUUUCCAACUCUCUAUUUCUGAAGGGAAGUCAGGUGGUUUUCUUUAGGGGUUUUAAUAAUUUGUUUAUUCAGGAAGCUCUUUGUGAUAUGUGUAGACAAAGAGAUGUUCCCAGAAUUGUGUAGAACCAGCAUACCUGACUUGUGGGCAGGGAUGAGUCACCUGGUUAGAUGACUAGAAUUGAAAAGCUUCAUCAUUUCUUAUCACUCUGAAAGAGCUGAAUAACUUAAUGCUUUUCUGACUCGAUUUUCUUUCUUUUUUUCCAGAUUUACUUUAUAUUGUUUAUGUAUUUAUGUUUUGUCCACAUGUAUGUCUACACACCAGAAGAGGGCAUUGAAUCCCACGGGACUACAGUUGUAGAAGGUUGUGAGCCACUAUGUGGUUGCUGGAAAUUGAACUCAAGUCCUCCGGAAGAGCAGCAGUGUCUUUAACCACUGGGCCAUCUGCCCAACCCCUGUCUUACUUUUCUUGAAGAGUUUGUCUUUUUUCCAACUGGCUGGAGCAGAAGACUGUUUGGAAAUAACAGAAGAGCUGAAGCUGUAUCUUCAGUUUCUCGUAAUUGAAAAGGAAAGGACAGCCUGCAUUUGCUAAUGAGCUGGAUACAGAUCCAGCCUCUUCCCCGGUAGAAUACCAGGACAUGGAACUGAGCCACAGAAUAAGGCCUCGAGCCGAGAAUAACAAGGAUUUUGUUAUGUUGUCCACUCCAGGACCCAUUCUGCUAUUUUCAUAACAUUCUAAAAGAUUUCGCAUCUGCAAGUAAUUAGUUGCAAAAUAAUCUAUCUUGGGACUGUGGGUUAGUGAGGGGUUGGGCAAUAGAAGUUCCAACUGUGGCCUAGCAACGUGUCAGUCUUGUGUUCCUUCUGUCUUUGCCUGCUUGUGAAACUGUAAAUACAUUAUGUAGGUACAGGCUGGUCCUGCUCUGUGAUGAGCAUGGCCGUUGGUCUGAUGUAAGCUCCCUGUGUACAAAGGUCCUUCUGACAUCUUGAUUCUUUUCCACAGCACCCUGAGAGGCAAGAGAGGUUACGAUUUUUAUCUGAUGGUGGCAUGGUUUUCUUUUGUUAUGAAUUUACAAACAGUUCAUUAAUUGUAAUGACACACAGAGAAAUCCACAGAAAUAAAUCAUUGUGACAUA